AUGGGUCAUGGAACUAGGUGGAACUCCUUCAAAUUCUUUAUGCAUUUGGUCUUUCUGACAAUUGUCAGUGGGAUCAUUUACAUUUUACAUCAUAAAAUAUCAUAGAAAGCUCUUUUUUAUUCCAGCUGCUUUACGUGCUUGACGAAUUGAAAUCUAAAGCCUCCCAAAAGUCUCCCUUUUUAUAACUAAUAUAGGGAGUUGCGUGGAUAGUCGACAAAGCUCCAAAGUUUGGGUCUGUUAAGAACGAACGAUCAUUGGAGCAAAUAGGCUUUGGGUAUUCGAGAAGAUGGGUUUUGAGGCCUUGGCUUGGUACUGCAAGCCAGUUGCACAAGGAUUCUGGGAGAAAACAGUGGAUGGUGCCUUUGGCGCCUACACACCGUGCGUGGUUAACACAUUAGUGAUGCUUGUUUCUCAAAUUGUGCUUCUUGGUUUGUGUUUGUACCGGAUAUGGAUCAUCUUCCGCAAUGCCAAAGCUCAGUUAUACGUUUUGAGGAACAAGUACUAUAACUGUGUGCUAGGGAUAUUGGCUUGUUACUGUGCUGCUGAGCCUGUACUGAGACUGGUCAUGCGGAUCUCACUCUUUAGCAUGGAUGAAGAGACUUAUCUUCCUCCCUUUGAGGUCGCAUCUUUGACGGUUGAGGCAUUCGCUUGGCUCUCCAUGCUUUCUUUGGUUGGGUUAGAAACCAAACGAUAUGUCAAAGAGUUCAGAUGGUACGUGAGGUUUGGUGUUGUUUAUGUUUUGGUUGCUGAUGCUGUGCUGCUGGAUCUUGUGUUACCUCUCAACAACUCACUAAAUAGAACUGCACUAUAUCUCUGUAUCAGUUCAAGAUGUGCUCAGGUUAUUUUUGGAGUUAUGCUUCUUGUUUACAUUCCGGAACUAGAUCCUUACCACGGUUACCAUACUCUAAACAAUGAAUCAUUAGACAAUGUUGAAUAUGAUGUCCUCCCUGAGGGAGAGAACAUAUGUCCCGAGAGACGUGCCGGCUUCUUUACAGGAAUAUUCUUUGACUGGAUCACGCCGCUUAUGCAGUUAGGCUACAGAAAAACCUUAAACGAGAAGGAUGUUUGGCAAUUAGAUAAAUGGGACCAAACAGAAACUUUGAUCAAAAGAUUUCAAAGAUCCUGGACUGAAGAAUCACGGAAAAACAAGCCAUGGCUUCUCCGAGCACUGAAUAAAAGUCUUGGUGGAAGGUUCUGGUUUGGUGGUAUUUUUAAGAUUGGACAUGAUCUUUCUCAAUUUGUUGGACCGCUUAUACUGAGCCAGUUAUUGCGGGCAAUGCAAGAAGAUGAUCCAGCUUGGGUUGGCUAUGUCUAUGCUUUCUUUAUUUUCGUUGGAGUGACACUAGGUGUGCUUUGUCAAUCUCAGUACUUUCAGCAUGUUGGUCGUGCGGCAUUUAGGUUGAGGUCAACUAUGGUUGCAGCUGUAUUCCACAAAUCUUUAAGACUAACUCAUGAAGCUCGCAAGAAUUUUACAUCUGGAAAAGUCACAAAUAUGAUAACUGCAGAUGCUAGUGCACUUCAGGUAUUCUCAGGUUCACAACUUUGCACAACUAAUGGAUUUGUAACUGCUGCUAACAUAUUCUCCCAAUUUGUUUGUCAGCUAAUAGUAGAACAGCUCCAUGGCUUAUGGUCAGCUCCCUUUCGCAUCAUUAUGUCUAUUAUUCUUCUCUAUCAACAACUAGGAGUUGCUUCCCUUUUCGGUUCACUGAUUCUGUUUCUCCUAAUUCCUCUCCAGACUCUGGUUAUAAACAAAAUGCGGAAACUAACUAAAGAAGGACUCCAAUGGACCGACAAAAGAGUCGGUAUCACGAAUGAGAUCUUGGCAUCCAUGGAUACUGUAAAAUGCUAUGCAUGGGAAAAGAGCUUUGAGUCGCGUAUUGAAGGAAUUAGAAACGAAGAGCUCUCAUGGUUUCGCAAAGCUCAGUUACUAUCAGCUUUUAAUAGUUUCAUACUGAACAGCACCCCAGUAGUUGUGACUGUGGUUUCAUUUGGGGUUUUUGUUCUGUUGGGAGGAGAUUUGACGCCAGCAAGGGCAUUCUCAUCUCUUUCUCUCUUCUCAGUUCUAAGAUCUCCUCUCAACAUGCUACCAAAUCUACUAAGUCAGGCCGUGAACGCAAAUGUUUCACUACAACGCAUUGAGGACCUACUUCUCAGUGAAGAGAGAGUUCUAGCACAGAACCCACCUAUUCAACCAGGAGCUCCAGCCAUUUCAAUUAAGAAUGGAUACUUUUCAUGGGAUUCAAAGACAACGAAGCCCACACUGUCCAAUAUCAAUUUGGAGAUACCAGUGGGAAGCUUGGUUGCCAUUGUAGGUGGAACCGGAGAAGGUAAGACAUCACUUGUCUCGGCAAUGUUGGGAGAGUUAUCUCAUGGUGAAACCUCAAACGUCGUUAUUAGAGGCUCCGUAGCUUAUGUCCCUCAAGUUUCAUGGAUCUUCAAUGCCACUGUGCGUGAAAACAUUAUAUUUGGGUCGGAUUUUGAAAGGGAAAGAUAUUGGAGGGCUAUUGACGUGACUGCCUUAAAACACGAUCUUGAUUUGCUUCCGGGCCGUGAUCUUACAGAGAUUGGAGAACGUGGGGUCAAUAUCAGCGGAGGGCAGAAGCAGAGAGUCUCAAUGGCUAGGGCUGUCUACUCUAAUUCAGAUGUUUACAUAUUCGAUGAUCCUUUGAGUGCUUUAGAUGCUCAUGUUGCUCAGCAGGUCUUUGAUAGUUGCAUGAAGGAAGAGCUGAAGGGCAAAACGAGGAUUCUUAUCACAAAUCAGUUACAUCUUCUUCCUAUGAUGGAUAGAAUUAUUUUAGUCUCCGAGGGAAUGAUUAAAGAGGAAGGGACCUUUGAAGAGCUGUCAGGGAACGGUAGUUUGUUCCAGAAAUUGAUGGAGAAUGCUGGGAAAAUGGAUGCAACCCAAGAGAUGUACAAAUUUGAUGACGAGAAGAUCUUGGAAGACCCUACUGUCAAUGUUGAAAUAAAACUAGGGAGUACCAAACAAGGUGAAGAUGGAAGAUCCGUGCUUGUCAAGAAAGAAGAACGAGAGUCUGGCAUCAUUAGUUGGAACGUUCUGACGAGGUAUAAAAAUGCAGUAGGAGGGUUAUGGGUAGUUUUGAUUCUCUUGGCAUGCUAUGUAACAACUGAAGCUCUCCGACUCACAAGCUGCACAUGGUUAAGUUUUUGGACUGACCAAAGCACGUCCAAGAGUUACAGUACCGGUUUCUACAUUGUAAUGUUUGCUCUUUUCGGAUUUGGUCAGGUUGCUGUUACGUUUACCAAUUCAUUUUGGCUUCUGACAUCAAGUCUACAUGCGGCUAAAACACUCCAUGACGCAAUGCUGAACUCUAUCCUGAGAGCUCCUAUGCUCUUCUUCGACACAAACCCAACUGGGCGUGUAAUAAAUAGGUUCUCUAAAGAUAUUGGUGAUAUAGAUAGAAUUGUCGCCAACCUGAUGAAUAUGUUCAUGAGCCAGCUGUGGCAACUCCUCUCGACGUUUGCUCUUAUAGGUGCUGUCAGUACCAUUUCAUUGUGGGCAAUAAUGCCACUCCUCAUACUGUUUUAUGCUGCAUACCUCUACUAUCAGAACACAUCACGUGAAGUAAGACGUAUGGAUUCUGUUGCAAGAUCACCUAUUUAUGCUCAAUUUGGAGAAGCAUUGAAUGGUUUGUCAAGCAUCAGAGCCUACAAAGCCUAUGAUCGGAUGGCAAAGAUUAAUGGAAAAUCAGUAGACAACAACAUAAGGUUCACUCUUGCUAAUACUACCUGUAAUCGUUGGCUCACUAUAAGAUUGGAGACUCUUGGAGGUGUCAUGAUUUGGUUAACCGCAACUUUCGCGGUUAUGAGAAGCAGUAAUACAGAGAACCAAGCUGGUUUUGCGUCAACGAUGGGUCUUCUCCUUAGCUACACACUGAAUAUCACUACUCUGAUGAGUGGUGUUCUAAGGCAAGCUAGCAAAGCAGAGAACAGCUUGAACUCUGUUGAGAGAGUUGGUAACUACAUUGAUCUUCCUUCUGAGGGUGCAGAGAUAAUCGAGAGCAAUCGUCCAGUCCCUGGCUGGCCUUCAAGAGGGUCUAUUACAUUUGAAGACGUUCACCUGCGUUAUAGGCCGGGGCUGCCUAUUGUGUUACAUGGACUGUCCUUUUCUGUCUCUCCUAAUGAGAAAGUGGGAGUGGUGGGAAGAACUGGGGCAGGGAAGUCUUCAGUUCUGAAUGCAUUGUUUAGGAUUGUGGAAGUGGAGAAGGGAAGAAUCAUGAUUGAUGAUUAUGAUGUGGCUAAGUUUGGACUGACAGAUCUGCGCAGGGUCCUGAGUAUAAUACCACAAUCUCCAGUGCUUUUCUCAGGGACGGUGAGAUUCAACAUUGACCCAUUUGAUGAGCACAAUGAUGCUGACCUCUGGGAGGCUCUACAAAGGGCACAUAUGAAAGAUGUUAUCGCCAGGAAUCCUUUAGGCCUUGAUACUGAGGUCUCAGAGGGAGGUGAGAAUUUCAGCGUGGGACAAAGGCAACUGUUGAGUCUAGUGCGUGCGUUGCUAAGAAGAUCCAAGAUCCUUGUUCUAGAUGAAGCAACUGCAUCUGUUGAUGUCAGAACAGAUACUCUGAUACAAAGGACCAUCCGUGAGGAAUUCAAGUCUUGCACAAUGCUUGUUAUCGCUCACAGAUUGAAUACCAUCAUCGACUGUGACAAGAUCCUUGUCCUUAGUUCUGGUCAGGCUUUGGAGUAUGAUAGUCCACAAGAACUGCUAUCAAGAGACACAAGCGCUUUCUUUGGGAUGGUUCAUAGCACUGGACUAGCAAAUGCUCAGCACCUUUGCAAUUUGGUCUUCGGAGGGAGAGAAGUGAACGGAAGGAGACAAGAAGGAUUCAAAUCGGCGAAGGAUUCCGGCGGUGACGAAUUCUCCGGCGAGAUUGGACGACGCUGCAGAGUUGUCCGGCGAGAUCCGACGAAGCUACGGCGAGAUUCGACGAAGCUACGGCGAGAUUCGACGAAGCUACGGCGAGAGGCGAGAUCUCUGGCGAACUCGAUGAACUCUGGCGAACUCGGAAAACUCCGACGAACUCGACGAUCUCCGGCGAAUUCAGUGAUGUACAGUGAACUUGGCGAUCUCCUGGCGAAUUCGGCUAUCUUCGACGAACUUGACGAGACUCCGAGCAAGACUGAGAGAGCCAUAGUCAUGGAGAUUAGCGAGGAAGAAGACGACUCUGUAUAUAUUGAAACCAUACAUAUUUAAUCAAAAAUCAUUCCGUUUAUUAGUCUCUCACCGAAAUAAAAGAAAGGUGUGUUGUGAGGUUUUGGAUUUAAAGAAUGCUGUAGAGAAUAUGUGUGGUGAUAUGCAUACCAAGUACCUCACGUUUUUGAGAAUAACUGAAAAAGCAGUGGAGAGUGAAGCAUGAGUUUGUUGAGCUAAGGAAACAUAUUUCUUCUUGCCUUGCAUAUGUUCAUCACUAGCUUUCAAUGUUAAAUGUGUUAUAUGAGUUCAUAUUUUGCUCUGAACCACCUAUUGACGUAUCUCAUGUAUGUGAAGAAGAUUAGGAAAUCAAUGGAGGCCAAAGAUGGAUGGUUUAUAAAUCAUUACAAAUGUUAACUAUUUUGCUAAAUAAUUUAUAAGCCGUUAUAAAUAAAUUUAUAAA
This is an RNA transcript of Brassica napus (rape), 5612 nucleotides long. It is a transcript of the gene named ABC transporter C family member 12-like, with no coding region annotated. The transcript has 29 exons. NCBI's taxonomy places the organism in Eukaryota, Viridiplantae, Streptophyta, Magnoliopsida, Brassicales, Brassicaceae. The record is from RefSeq and is a predicted model, not a curated record.